RNAcentral lists this long non-coding RNA (1812 nucleotides) under Hordeum vulgare. Its description in RNAcentral is "long non-coding RNA (HVUL_LNC008076)". The record is from RNAcentral. Lineage: Eukaryota; Viridiplantae; Streptophyta; Magnoliopsida; Poales; Poaceae.
AAAAUCAUGAUUCACAUUAACCUAAGACUUACAAGAACUAAAUGAGCAUUAAAGUCUUAACACAUGCAAUACACUCAUAUUUCAAUCAUUACUAUUCAUCAUACAAUUCGAUAAGGUGCUGCCAGAGAAUAUGCGCCACUUGGUCUUGCAGUCAGGAAUCCUUUGAGGUCCCAAAUUGAUAUUGUUUCAUCUUUGUUAGUUACUUGUAAUUUACACUAUUUUAAUCUAUUUUACACCAUGUCAAUGUCAAGCGCUAAACAUGAGUUUUGUUAUUUGACUAGCUUCGACUAACAUUUCAUUCAAAAUUGUAGUGUAGCUCUUUGGCUCCACCAGGAGCAUUUACGUACUGUUGAAUCCAAGUAGAUGGAUGGUGGGAUCCGGGGGUUCAUACUUUCAAGGAAAACAUAAAUGGUCUUAACGUUUGUUGGACGGAUACCUAAUGCAACCACCAUCCUUACUUUGUUUUAGGGACAUUGGAUGUUUGCCUUAGCUCUAUAUAUUUGCUUGGCAUGCUUGUGGCCUUGCCUGCUUACUAUUUCCUACUUGCCGUAGCUCGUGUUCGUCGGCAGAGAGAGAAAUAGCAAUCGUGACAAGUUGGAUACGUGUUGUACUGUUUGGAUUGGGAGUCAUCCAGGAACAAUCAGCUGCCUGUCAAAAUUCUUUCGCCUGAGCUUGGGUGUGUUUGGCUGCGCUUUUGUUACAAGGCCGACGCGGCCCCUGCGUGCUGACUACCCGUAUUCUAUAUGGAACAGGGGUCGAUGUGUCUAAAGACUACUCGGUGACGACAUUUGCAUAGCAGCCUCCACUUCCAGCGGUAUGUAUUCCGAGGGUACGAGUUGGGAAACACGGGUCAGCCGAAUACCAGAUGUUCCUGGAGCUCCUUUACCUUGACCUCUGAACACAGAUCGGCUUGCCCCUCCUUCUCCAGCUUCGAGUGAUGCUCCUCCCGCUCGUUGAGCUCCUUCUCCCAUGCCUUCUAGUCCUCCCCCUCCUCAAGCUCCGUGUUCCUCGCCCAAAGCUUCUCCAGCGACUUCUCCACUGCCUUCUCCUGCUGAGUGAGAUCCUCCCUCUCCUCGUGGUCCUUGAGCAGAGCUGACUCCCGCUCCUCAAGAUGCUUCUCGCACUGAGUGAGCUCCGCUCCUCUCGCUUGAAGCUCUAGAAGCUCAUGCUCCUUGGACUCAAUAUCCUACUCCUCCGACUCAAUCUCCUCCAGACACCCCCUGAUCUUCUCCUCCCUCUGCCCCAUCUCCUCCUUUCUUGCGCUCUUGUCGACACAGAAUCUCUCCUUGUCGAGACCGAGUUGGCACCAAGCGCUCGUAAUGUUUGUCUUGGCUUUCUUGAUCUCAUACUCCUGCCACACGCUGAGAUACAUGGCGUUGGAGGUGAUGUGCCCAGGAUGCGAAUGCAAGAGAGGGUGCCGGCCGUGGGGCUUGUGGCUGCCAUGUGGUUGGAGUAGUGACUGAGGCACAUCAGUUUUAAAUAGCGGGCUACGGCAAAUAGCGGUGAGCCUCUAAAUCAGCUAUAGCGGGCUAUAGCGGUAUAUUUGUACAUGAUACCAUUUAACGACAUCUUGUUGAAAAGGCUAUAGCAAGGCUAUAGCGGGGCUAUAGCGGGCUAUUUAAAACUAUGGUUGAAACCCAUUAGGCCUCAGGCGUGCAGGCGGAAGUUGGCCACAGGGUUGGUUGUUCGUCUGCGCUGGAUUUGCAUGCACAACUUAUUAUUGAAAAGUUUACAGUAAUCUUUUGUACUCCCUCCGUUUCUUUUUACUCCGCGUAUAAGAUUUGAUCAAAGUCAAACAACAUAAAGUUUGAU